UUCGUUGCAAAUCUAAUAUUCUUCUGCUUGCAGGGUGAUGGUGACUAUGAACUUGUCAAGGAUGUACUAAUUGAUGACUACUUGCGAAGCCGAAUAAAGAAGUCAGAAGACGAGUUGCUUGGUGAGAAGAGAUGUGUCACCCAUCUUACAGGGGAGGGUAUUGCUGUCUGUGACCUACCAGGGGAUACAAUGCUCCCCGGAGAAAUGUGAAACCACAGAGCCAAGCCAGGUUAUCAACAACUUUUGACCUAUCUGUCUGUCUUGCAAAAUGGGCUUAGAUUCUGUGGAUACAAAGCUAAAGGAAAAUGUAAUUUGUAUGCAAAGGAUCUAUGUAAGUAUAUAGAACAGAUUUGAUUGCAGUCUACCAAUAUAUAACUGGUUGACUAGGAAAUUAUGUCUGAGGAGAGAAUUGCCAGGGGAAUCCGAAUUGCUACUUAAGUGCUUUUGAGAUUGUAGAAUUGGCAUCCUCACUUGAGCAGAAAAUAAAUGAAGCUUUUUAGACUGAAGAAAGAAGCUCGCUGGAAGAGGUAAUUUCAACUUUCUAAGGCAUCUAAGAUCCAUGUUGUUGGACUUGGACAUACCAGGAAUUACAGUUCCUUUUUCUGUUUUGCCGGGAAACUUUGUAUUCUUUCCAAGUAUUAACAUCAACUGAAGGACUUGUGGGCAUAUAGUAUUAGAAUUAUUAAAGUGAAAUUGAUUGCUUAUUGUACUAGAUUCUUUCAGCCAAACCAUCACCCACAAGGAACAAUAAUUAUGAGCGUCUCCCAAAGCUUUGUCUCAUCUUGGGCCCGUGUACAACACG
This is a non-coding RNA of Nicotiana tabacum (common tobacco), 802 nucleotides long. NCBI's taxonomy places the organism in Eukaryota, Viridiplantae, Streptophyta, Magnoliopsida, Solanales, Solanaceae. The record is from RefSeq and is a predicted model, not a curated record.